This 468-nucleotide ribosomal RNA is filed under the name uncultured bacterium. Its description in RNAcentral is "partial 16S ribosomal RNA". It matches the Rfam family "Bacterial small subunit ribosomal RNA", at positions 28 to 507 of the family's 1533-position model. The record is from RNAcentral.
GAUGAACGCUGGCGGCGUGCUUAACACAUGCAAGUCGAACGGAAAGGCCGAAGCUUGCUUCGGUACUCGAGUGGCGAACGGGUGAGUAACACGUGGGUGAUCUGCCCUGUACUUCGGGAUAAGCUUGGGAAACUGGGUCUAAUACCGGAUAUGACGAUCUCUUGGAUGGGGUUGUGGAAAGCUUUUGCGGUAUUGGAUGAGCUCGCGGCCUAUCAGCCUGUUGGUGGGGUAAUGGCCUACCAAGGCGUCGACGGGUAGCCGGCCUGAGAGGGUGUACGGCCACAUUGGGACUGAGAUACGGCCCAGACUCCUACGGGAGGCAGCAGUGGGGAAUAUUGCACAAUGGGCGCAAGCCUGAUGCAGCGACGCCGCGUGGGGGAUGACGGCCUUCGGGUUGUAAACUCCUUUCGCAAUCGACGAAGCCUUUUGGUGACGGUAGGUUGAGAAGAAGCACCGGCUAACUACGUG